This 1222-nucleotide small RNA is filed under the name Pongo abelii (Sumatran orangutan). RNAcentral describes it as "processed transcript". The record is from RNAcentral. Lineage: Eukaryota; Metazoa; Chordata; Mammalia; Primates; Hominidae.
GCCGAGUGUAAAGCAUUGCUUGAGGUUGCCCAGGUAGUUUCGCCUUACACUUCUUGUCCCAGUGCAAUUAUUAGUAGAGCUCCCUUUCACUGUCAGAUUUCCGGUUGGGGAUAAAUUGCAUUGUCGUUUUGGUUUGAGAUAGGAAGAUGAGGGGAGGAAGGAGGUGAGGCGGUAAGGGGCGUUCUCUCUCUUGGGUCCCGCGCCCAACUUCCGCUGGCCCAAAGAAACUAUAAUUUUGAACCAACAGACCUCUGCUGGCAUCUGCGAUUGCAUUUUUCCUGUUUUAACAACGGCUGUGCUAAACGAAGUAGUAAAGCCCAAAGACUUACUUUUGAACUCGCUGUAAGACUGAGAAAUUACGUAGUCCUUCCUGAAACCACUAAGAGGAAAAAUGUCUGUGACACUGCAUACAGAUGUAGGUGAUAUUAAAAUUGAAGUCUUCUGUGAGAGGACACCCAAAACAUGUGAGGAACUGGAAGAGGAGGCAACAGUAUCUGGGGCAAGAAGUUUGAGGAUGAAUACAGUGAAUAUCUUAAGCACAAUGUUAGAGGUGUUGUAUCUAUGGCUAAUAAUGGCCCGAACACCAAUGGAUCUCAGUUCUUCAUCACCUAUGGCAAACAGCCACAUUUGGACAUGAAAUACACCGUAUUUGGAAAGGUAAUAGAUGGUCUGGAAACUCUAGAUGAGCUGGAGAAGUUGCCAGUAAAUGAGAAGACAUACCGACCUCUUAAUGAUGUACACAUUAAGGACAUAACUAUUCAUGCCAACCCAUUUGCUCAGUAGCUAUGAUAGACCUGGACAAAUAACUUGACAAAUUGCUGGAACACACUUAUUGUGGUUUACCCGGUUUUAAUUAUGUCAGAGAUUGCAUCAUCCUUCUGCUCUUUUACAACUAUGAUCUUCUAUGAAAUGGUGGUACCAAGGGGCACCCAACAGCUUUUAUCCCCAUUCUUGGAGCAUAUUCUUUAUUAAAACGAUUAUCCAACAUAUUUCUUUAAUUUUAAUGCAAAAAAUACAUCAUUUAAUUUUUGUUACAUAUAAACAUUCAUUUUUAAAUGCUGAGCCUCAAGUGCAGGCAUUUUUGAGUGGCCUGAUUACAUAUUCCUCCCACAGCAAGUCCGUAUCCUGGAAGUGUUAUUUUAUAAUAAAAUUAAAAAUGUUUUAAAGAAUUAAAUCGUAGGACAAAUUAAUUAAAAUAUUGUGUAAAAUUACCUUCAGGCUA